AUACACGUGUGUGUGCCUUUAUAGGCAGGUAUGGUGUAUAUACACGUGUGUGUGCCUUUAUAGGCAGGUAUGGUGUAUAUACACGUGUGUGUGCCUUUAUAGGCAGGUAUGGUGUAUAUACACGUGUGUGUGCCUUUAUAGGCAGGUAUGGUGUAUAUACACGUGUGUGUGCCUUUAUAGGCAGGUAUGGUGUAUAUACACGUGUGUGUACCUAUAUAGGCAGGUAUGGUGUAUAUACACGUGUGUGUACCUAUAUAGGCAGGUAUGGUGUAUAUACACGUGUGUGUACCUAUAUAGGCAGGUAUGGUGUAUAUACACGUGUGUGUACCUAUAUAGGCAGGUAUGGUGUAUAUAUACGUAUGUGUAUAUUGGUUUGUUGUAUAUGUUCGAAAUAAAAGGUUGUCAUCCUCA
This is a long non-coding RNA of Brienomyrus brachyistius, 411 nucleotides long. RefSeq lists it as uncharacterized. The record is from RefSeq and is a predicted model, not a curated record. The transcript has 2 exons. Lineage: Eukaryota; Metazoa; Chordata; Actinopteri; Osteoglossiformes; Mormyridae.